AUACGAAAGGUGCAAGCGUUGUUCGGAUUUACUGGGCGUAAAGAGAGUGUAGGUUGUUUAUUAAGUCGGAUGUGAAAUCCCGGGGCUCAACCUCGGAACUGCAUUCGAUACUGGUAGACUAGAGUUCGGGAGGGGUAAGCGGAAUUCCGUGUGUAGCAGUGAAAUGCGUAGAUAUACGGAGGAACACCUGAGGCGAAGGCAGCUUACUGGACCGAUACUGACACUGAGACUCGAAAGCGUGGGUAGCAAACAGGAUUAGAUACCCUAGUAGUCC
Molecule: ribosomal RNA, 274 nt
Filed under: uncultured bacterium
Lineage: Bacteria
Description: partial 16S ribosomal RNA
Rfam family: Bacterial small subunit ribosomal RNA
Source: RNAcentral